Molecule: ribosomal RNA, 482 nt
Filed under: uncultured bacterium
Lineage: Bacteria
Description: partial 16S ribosomal RNA
Rfam family: Bacterial small subunit ribosomal RNA
Source: RNAcentral
GACGAACGCUGGCGGCGUGCUUAACACAUGCAAGUCGAACGGUGAAGUAGAGCUUGCUCUAUGGAUCAGUGGCGAACGGGUGAGUAACACGUGGGCAACCUGCCCCAGACUCUGGGAUAACUCCUCGAAAGAGGGGCUAAUACCGGAUAUUUGCAUUGCAAGACAUCUUGUGAUGCAGAAAGAAUUUCGGUCUGGGAUGGGCCCGCGGCCUAUCAGCUUGUUGGUGAGGUAACGGCUCACCAAGGCGACGACGGGUAGCCGGCCUGAGAGGGCGACCGGCCACACUGGGACUGAGACACGGCCCAGACUCCUACGGGAGGCAGCAGUGGGGAAUAGUGGGCAAUGGGCGCAAGCCUGACCCAGCAACGCCGCGUGAGGGAUGAAGGUCCUCGGAUUGUAAACCUCUUUCAGCAGGGACGAAGCGAAAGUGACGGUACCUGCAGAAGAAGCACCGGCUAACUACGUGCCAGCCGCCGCGGUAA